Molecule: long non-coding RNA, 1053 nt
Organism: Homo sapiens (human)
Lineage: Eukaryota; Metazoa; Chordata; Mammalia; Primates; Hominidae
Exons: 3
Source: RefSeq, a predicted model, not a curated record
AUGAUCAUCUGAGCCUUCAGCAAGUCAUAAUCUUUUUGUAGGUGGAAGGCCCUGUCUCAAUAUUGAUAGCUGCUGACUAGGGCAGUGAUGGCUGAAAAUUGAGAAGUCUGUGGGAAUUUCUUAAAAUAAGACAACAAUGAAUUUUGCUGCAUCAGUUGACACUUCCUUUCAUGAAAGAUCUCCUUGUAGUAUUUCAUGCUGUUCGAUAACAUUGUCCCCACAGUAGAACUUUGAAAACUGGCCUAAAUCCUCUCAAAACCUGCUGCUGCUUUAUCAGCUAAGUUUAUGUAAUAUUUCAAAUCCUUUGUUGUCACUUCAACAAUGUUCACAGCAUCUUCACCAGAAGUAUACUGCAUGUCAACAAACUAUUUUCUUUGCUUAUUUAUAGAAGCAACUCUUCAUCUGUUCAAGUUUUAUCAUGAGAUUGUGGCAAUUCAGUCCCCUCUUCAGGCUUCACUUUUAAUUCUCUUGCUGUUUUCAGCAAAUCUGCAGUGACUUCCUCCACUGAAGUUCUGAACCCCUCAAAUUCAUCCAUGAGGGUUUGAAUCAACUUCUAUCAAACUUCCAUUAAGCUUUAUUUCUUCUGAAUGGAUAUCACCUGUGAGUUCUGUGACACAACUUUACAUUUAUUUGUGUCCUACAUCUCACUCUGCUAUGACAUUUUAUUCUCUUAGGCUUUGCAAUAGAACUCAUCCUCAUCAUCAAACACAGAAUAUUUAUAUUGGUUUAUGCACUCAUUUACUUUGAAUAUAUACAGAAAAUGAGGAAUCACUGGAUCAUAAAAUAGGUAUAUGUUUAAUUAGAAACUUCUAAACAGUUGUUCAAAAUUGUAGCAUAAUUUUACGCUCGUAGUAGUAAUGUAUGAACAUUCCAAUUUCCUUACACUUACAUAAAUAUUUAGUAUAGGAAAUAAUUUUAUCUUUAACAGUUCUAUUUUGUUUUAGCCAGUUGUUCUCUCCUUACAGAUGUUAGUUGACCUUUUCUUGAGAGCAAGUUUUUAUAUACUUAUUGGCCACUUUUGAGUAUCUUUCUGAUGAAAUGUCUCUUUAGAUA